Long non-coding RNA from Sapajus apella (tufted capuchin), 2197 nucleotides. RefSeq lists it as uncharacterized. The transcript is spliced from 3 exons. NCBI's taxonomy places the organism in Eukaryota, Metazoa, Chordata, Mammalia, Primates, Cebidae. The record is from RefSeq and is a predicted model, not a curated record.
AUGGGGUUUUGCCAUGUUGACCAAGCUGGCCUCAAACUCCUGAGUCAGGUGAUCUGCCUGUCUCAACCUCCCAAAGUGCUAAGAUUACAGGCAAGAGACACUGUACCAGGCCUUGCUUCUGCUUAUGAUGUCUGUACCUGCCUUGAAGUCCUAUCGUCUCUUAAGGAAGGCCCAUAUCAAAACUACCCAUUUUGGGAAGCUUUUUGUUGGGAAACAACCAUGACAUCAUGAGUAACUUGGGAUAUUGAUCAUUUCACAUUUGGUAGUGUAUCAGUGCUUUUGAACUUUUUGAAAUAACAGACUACCGGUUGAAGUUAUAUUGACAUUAAGUCGUUACAUCAGUAAUGUAUUGAUGUUAUAUUACUGUAGCAUUGAUGUUAAGUAUUGAUAGUAUUGCUGUUUAGGUCAUUAGUUUAGAACUUCAACAGUCAGGUUCAUUCAUUUAGUAUAUAUUUUGUACCUGCUGUGUGCUGGCCACUGGGUUAACUGUUAAAAGUUGCAGAGUAUUUUCUUUUAUGCUUUUUCUGUAAACUUUUAAAAAAGCUGUAAUGAUGGUGGCACAGCAUUUCAUUUCUCUUUGGCAAAUAUUUGGUGUAAGUAAUAUGGUAGAUGUAUGUUUAAUUUUUAAAUAAAUUGCAAAAUUAUUUUGCAAUAUGUUAGUAACGUUUUACAUUUUAAUCCCCAGUGAAUAAGAAUUCAAGUUGUUCCCUGUGCUCACCAACAGUUGGAAUGGUCACUGCUAUUAAUUUUAGCCAUUCUUACAGAUUUGUAGAGAUAACUUAUUGUAAUUUUAAUUUGUAUUUUCCUAAUAACUAAUGAUGUUGUGUGCUUAUUUGCCAUCUGUUUGUCACCUUUGGUGGUCUGUUGAAAUCUUUAGUCCAUUUUUAAAUUGGGUUAUUUGUCUUAAUGAGUUGCAAAGGUUCUUAUUAUACUUUAGAUACUAGUUUUUUGUUGGACUAUGCAAAUACCCUAUUUCUCAUUAUAUUUUUACCCACUAACUUUAAUAUCUGUCAAUGAUUCUUGCCUGUGGCAGUUAUUACUGUGCUGUUUGUGUUACUGGUGAUUUUCUGUUGAUAUUAAGCUGCAUUUUAAAGUUGGGAUUCUAUUGUAAGGAAGAACUCUUUCAUUUACUCAUUAGUUCAAUUAUUUAUUAAUUUUUUCAUUGUUUUAUUGUUCAGUUGUCCAUUGAAAGCCCUUUCAGGUUGACUCUUGUUCAUCCUUUCAGCCUAUCCCCAUCAUUUUUGAGGAUACUUGUUUGCUUUCUGGUUCAUCUUAUAUUUUUCCUGCUUAAGCCUUGGAGUCAACCAUUGUCUAAGGAGUCCAGCAUCCUUUCUUUGAGAAUAGUGAUUAGAAACCAAGAUCUGAGCACUAGAAGUGCUCAUUACUAUUGGGGUGUCACUGCUUCUAGCAGGUGUUUUGAGCAGAUGGAGGCAGGCAAUAUAUGAAUUUAUAUACAUCUAUAUUUCUGUAUACAUGUGUAAAAAUAUAUGCAUAUGUAUGUUAAAAAUCAUGAAUUUAUACUGGUACAUCAAUUCCAAUCUGUUAAUGGAGAGCUCAGUCUAGCCUUUCUCUUUUCCUUUUAACUCCAUUCUUCAAAACCUGGCUUUCAUCUACAAUUUAUUUCUAUACUUGUAAAAUUGUAUUGUACACAUAGAUGUAACUUUAGAACUAUGUAAUAUACUUACUUGCUAGAGUAUAACAUUUGUAUAUACUUUUUUGUCUUUAGCCUUGUACACUACUAAUACCGUUGAUACGCUAUACCAAUACCUUAUGCUAAUCAAAAUACUUUUCCCCAAAGUUAAUUAUGUUCUUUUCUGUUUCACCCCCUUCAGUGUCUUCAUGUUAUUCUUUUGAAAUACAGUUAGUUUUAUUUGUUACUAUUUCUUUUCACAUCUGGCUGAUUUUUUUUUUAAUGGGAAUAUAUGGAAAAUUACCAUGGUAUUAACAGACUAAGUUCGUUAAUAGACCAAUUUAGUAUUCCUCGCACCUUUCUUUUACUCUGUUCUCAUUCUCCUUUUUUCUACCCCUUUUCCACACAUCCAUAGAGGUGAUGGAUCUCAUGUUUUUUUUGUGACUAUCUUUUUGCACAUAUGAGAAGAUACGUGUGAGAAAGGAGAUGCAGCACUUUAUGUGUGAGAGGUAGUGUACAGUGCAUGCUUUUUGUUUUGGCAACAGAGUCUCACUCUGUCACCCAGGC